CAAGUGCUCAAGCUCCCAAACACAAAGCCACUGUAGGACCCAUGAAUGCUUACCUGCUCGUUUCCAAAUUUGAGUCGUUGCUGAACGACUUCAUGGGGCAGUAGCAUCAUCAGGCUUUUCCUGUUCUGAGUAGUCACCCCCGAUGUUACCUGUUCAUAGAGUCUCCAAAGCUAUAUCGUAGAAGUCAUCAAAACACUUGCUAUAAUGCUUUUUGUCUCUUUUUUCAAAACUCCUGCCGACGCCGCGGACCCUGCCGACGCCGCGGACCCUGCCCGACGCCGCCGACCCUGCCCGACGCCGCCGACCCUGCCCGACGCCUCACAAGUCUCCCAGCUCAGAGCCAACCAGCUAUUAGUCUGGCGCAACGGAUUUGUGCAUUCCUUGCACUAGCUGUUCCUUCACCUCCUCUUCACGUACAAGGACACGCGUCUCUUUCACGCUCCUUCAGGAGUAAACAAGCCAGGAGAGAUUAAAGCCUCUUUCUCCAGAAAGAUGCUUCUAGUUUCCUUAGUCUCCUUGGAGAGACAGGUAUCUGGAUAUUUAACUUGGAAGAAAGAUGAGCAACACUAGCAAGCUUCCCAAAGCAAAAUUUCCAUUUCCCCCAUACAAGGACGUAAAAAGAUGGGAAUAAUUGUGCAUUUAUGGAAGGCUGUCCCAUGUUUUUCCACUGGUUUUCAUCUGGUUUGGUUCACCUGCAGAAAGGGAAGAAGCACCAGAGCUUAUCUCCAUUUUCAAGAGAAGGCAACUGUUUCUGGGACCAAACUGUCAGGCUACAGCAUACGGAUGUAUCAAACAAAGCUUCACGUCAUCUUUCAAAUCCACCCUUUUAUUCGAAUAUUCUUGAAAAUUAACAUUAAAAGUAGAUAGUGCUU
Long non-coding RNA from Anas platyrhynchos (mallard), 872 nucleotides. RefSeq lists it as uncharacterized. The record is from RefSeq and is a predicted model, not a curated record. NCBI's taxonomy places the organism in Eukaryota, Metazoa, Chordata, Aves, Anseriformes, Anatidae.